GAUGAAGAACGCAGUGAAAUGCGAUAAGUAAUGUGAAUUGCAGAAUUCAGUGAGUCAUCGAAUCUUUGAACGCACAUUGCGCCCUGUGGUAUUCCGCAGGGCAUGCCUGUUCGAGCGUCAUUUCAACCCUCAAGCCUCGCUUGGUGUUGGGCCCUGCCCGCCGCGGCCGGCCCUAAAGAUAGUGGCGGCGCCGCCUGGCCCUCAGCGUAGUACAGCUCUCGCUCCAGGGUCCGGCGGCAGCCUGCCAGAACCCCCCAACUCUGUGGUUGACCUCGGAUCAGGUAGGGAUACCCGCUGAACUUAAGCAUAUCAAUAAGCGGAGGA
RNAcentral lists this unclassified non-coding RNA (324 nucleotides) under soil metagenome. RNAcentral's name for it is "partial contains 5.8S ribosomal RNA, internal transcribed spacer 2, and large subunit ribosomal RNA". The stretch from base 1 to 120 matches the Rfam family "5.8S ribosomal RNA", at positions 35 to 154 of the family's 154-position model. The record is from RNAcentral.